CAGCAGCCGCGGGAAUACGGAGGGGGCUAGCGUUGUUCGGAAUUACUGGGCGUAAAGCGCACGUAGGCGGCUUGGUAAGUUAGAGGUGAAAGCCCGGAGCUCAACUCCGGAAUUGCCUUUAAGACUGCCGAGCUAGUAGGUGAGAGAGGUAAGUGGAAUUCCGAGUGUAGAGGUGAAAUGCGUAGAUAUGCGGAGGAACACCGAUGGCGAAGGCAGCCCCCUGGGCCAACACUGACGCUCAUGCACGAAAGCGUGGGGAGCAAACAGGAUUAGAUACCCGCGUAGUCCCUGUCUCUUAUAC
Molecule: ribosomal RNA, 301 nt
Filed under: uncultured bacterium
Lineage: Bacteria
Description: partial 16S ribosomal RNA
Rfam family: Bacterial small subunit ribosomal RNA
Source: RNAcentral